Molecule: ribosomal RNA, 497 nt
Filed under: uncultured bacterium
Lineage: Bacteria
Description: partial 16S ribosomal RNA
Rfam family: Bacterial small subunit ribosomal RNA
Source: RNAcentral
GACGAACGCUGGCGGCGUGCCUAAUACAUGCAAGUAGAACGCUGAAGAGAGGAGCUUGCUCUUCUUGGAUGAGUUGCGAACGGGUGAGUAACGCGUAGGUAACCUGCCUUUUAGCGGGGGAUAACUAUUGGAAACGAUAGCUAAUACCGCAUAACAAUGGAUGACACAUGUCAUUUAUUUGAAAGGGGCAAUUGUUCCACUACAAGAUGGACCUGCGUUGUAUUAGCUAGUAGGUGAGGUAAUGGCUCACCUAGGCGACGAUACAUAGCCGACCUGAGAGGGUGAUCGGCCACACUGGGACUGAGACACGGCCCAGACUCCUACGGGAGGCAGCAGUAGGGAAUCUUCGGCAAUGGGGGCAACCCUGACCGAGCAACGCCGCGUGAGUGAAGGAGGUUUUCGGAUCGUAAAGCUCUGUUGUAAGUCAAGAACGGGUGUGAGAGUGGAAAGUUCACACUGUGACGGUAGCUUACCAGAAAGAGACGGCUAACUACGUG